CAGCCGCCACGGGAAAACGAAGGGUGCAAGCGUUAAUCGGAAUUACUGGGCGUAAAGCGCGCGUAGGUGGUUUGUUAAGUUGGAUGUGAAAUCCCCGGGCUCAACCUGGGAACUGCAUCCAAAACUGGCAGGCUAGAGUAGGGCAGAGGGUGGUGGAAUUUCCUGUGUAGCGGUGAAAUGCGUAGAUAUAGGAAGGAACACCAGUGGCGAAGGCGACCACCUGAGCUCAUACUGACACUGAGGUGCGAAAGCGUGGGGAGCAAACAGGAUUAGAUACCCCGGUAGUCCCUGUCUCUUAUAC
RNAcentral lists this ribosomal RNA (301 nucleotides) under uncultured bacterium. Its description in RNAcentral is "partial 16S ribosomal RNA". It matches the Rfam family "Bacterial small subunit ribosomal RNA", at positions 509 to 807 of the family's 1533-position model. The record is from RNAcentral.